GACCUGUAGCGCAAUGGAUAGCGCGUUGGAAUUCUUAUCCAAAGGUCGUGAGUUCAAAAUCCAUCUGGGUUG
This is a non-coding RNA of Trichonephila inaurata madagascariensis, 72 nucleotides long. The record is from the annotation of a GenBank genome assembly. NCBI's taxonomy places the organism in Eukaryota, Metazoa, Arthropoda, Arachnida, Araneae, Nephilidae.